UUCUUUACGGAGAGUUUGAUUCUGGCUCAGAACGAACGCUGGCGGCGUGGAUAAGACAUGCAAGUCGAGCGGGGUAUUAUUUGUAGCAAUACAGGUAAUGCUCAGCGGCGCAAGGGUGCGUAACACGUGGGCAACCUGCCCGGAAAUGGGGGAUAGCUCGUCGAAAGGCGAAUUAAUACCGCAUGUGGCGAAGGGUGACAUCACCUUGAAGCCAAAGCUGGGGCAACCUAGCGUUUCCGGAUGGGCCCGCGGCCUAUCAGCUAGUUGGAGAGGUAACGGCUCCCCAAGGCUAUGACGGGUAGCUGGUCUGAGAGGACGACCAGCCACACUGGAACUGAGACACGGUCCAGACACCUACGGGUGGCAGCAGUCGAGAAUUUUUCUCAAUGGGGGAAACCCUGAAGGAGCGA
This 410-nucleotide ribosomal RNA is filed under the name Pseudomonadota bacterium. RNAcentral describes it as "bacterial SSU rRNA". It matches the Rfam family "Bacterial small subunit ribosomal RNA", at positions 1 to 394 of the family's 1533-position model. Lineage: Bacteria; Pseudomonadati; Pseudomonadota. The record is from RNAcentral.